CUUCAGUGAUGAUGCGAUGACGAGUCGGAAUGGGGCAGAUUCUCUCUGUGGAUUCUGGGUCAGUUGUCAUGUUCUGUGCUUCUGGCCUUAGUUCCUCAGUGUAGAACGUUCCUCUCAGUUGAAGACAUUGAGGCAUUUGUCUGAGAAGA
Small nucleolar RNA from Electrophorus electricus (electric eel), 149 nucleotides. The record is from Ensembl. NCBI's taxonomy places the organism in Eukaryota, Metazoa, Chordata, Actinopteri, Gymnotiformes, Gymnotidae.